Molecule: small nuclear RNA, 106 nt
Filed under: Dasypus novemcinctus (nine-banded armadillo)
Lineage: Eukaryota; Metazoa; Chordata; Mammalia; Cingulata; Dasypodidae
Source: RNAcentral
GUGUUUGCUUCAGCCCGCAUAUACUUAAAUUGGACUAAUACCAAGAAGAUUAGCAUGGCCCUUACACAAGGAUGACAUGCAAGUUCAUGAAGUUUUGUAUAUAUUU